Molecule: transfer RNA, 71 nt
Filed under: Marmota monax (woodchuck)
Lineage: Eukaryota; Metazoa; Chordata; Mammalia; Rodentia; Sciuridae
Description: tRNA.Gly
Source: RNAcentral
GGAUGUGGUUCAGUGGAAGAGUGUCUGCCUACCAUGCACAAGGACCUGUGUUCAAUCCCCAGACACACACA